Molecule: long non-coding RNA, 266 nt
Filed under: Cyanistes caeruleus (blue tit)
Lineage: Eukaryota; Metazoa; Chordata; Aves; Passeriformes; Paridae
Description: lncRNA (ENSCCEG00000013995.1)
Source: RNAcentral
UCUGCAAUGCAGAGCACAAGUUGUCAUUAUCAACUGAGACAUUCCAUCUAAAACCAGAUGGAGAGAGAUGCCACUCCUUGUUUUACAAAAUGCACAUUGAGAAGAGCUGGGUUCUAGUCACGCCCUCAAAAGAUGGAAGCACAGACCAAGUUAUGUAACCUCUCCAGGCUACUUCUGUCCUGAACUGCAGCGGUCUCUGAGAGGAAUUGACUGGGGCUGGGAGCUAACCUUUUCCUGGAGACCUACGAGUAGGACAACCUUGCUGU